GACGAACGCUGGCGGCGUGCUUAACACAUGCAAGUCGAACGGAAAGGCCCUGCUUGCAGGGUACUCGAGUGGCGAACGGGUGAGUAACACGUGGGUGAUCUGCCCUGCACAUCGGGAUAAGCCUGGGAAACUGGGUCUAAUACCGGAUAGGAGCCAUUUUUAGUGUGAUGGUUGGAAAGUUUUUUCGGUGUAGGAUGAGCUCGCGGCCUAUCAGCUUGUUGGUGGGGUAAUGGCCUACCACGGCGGCGACGGGUAGCCGGCCUGAGAGGGUGGACGGCCACAGUGGGACUGAGAUACGGCGCAGACGCCUACGGGAGGCAGCAGUGGGGAGUAUUGCACAAUGGGCGCGAGCCUGAUGCAGCGACGCCGCGUGGGGGAUGACGGCCUUCGGGUUGUGAACGCCUUUCGCUAGGGACGAAGCUUUUUGUGACGGUACCUAGAUAAGAAGCACCGGCUAACUACGUG
Molecule: ribosomal RNA, 465 nt
Filed under: uncultured bacterium
Lineage: Bacteria
Description: partial 16S ribosomal RNA
Rfam family: Bacterial small subunit ribosomal RNA
Source: RNAcentral